UUAUUUUACUUUACAACAUUGUAUUGGAACGAUACAGAGAAGAUUAGCAUGGCCCCUGCGCAAGGAUGACAAGCAAAUUUGUGAAGUGUUCCAUAUUUUU
RNAcentral lists this small nuclear RNA (100 nucleotides) under Cervus hanglu yarkandensis (Yarkand deer). Lineage: Eukaryota; Metazoa; Chordata; Mammalia; Artiodactyla; Cervidae. The record is from RNAcentral.